Molecule: ribosomal RNA, 516 nt
Filed under: Oceanobacillus neutriphilus
Lineage: Bacteria; Bacillati; Bacillota; Bacilli; Caryophanales; Bacillaceae
Description: bacterial SSU rRNA
Rfam family: Bacterial small subunit ribosomal RNA
Source: RNAcentral
GGAAUGAGCGGCGGACGGGUGAGUAACACGUAGGCAACCUGCCUGUAAGACUGGGAUAACUCGUGGAAACGCGAGCUAAUACCGGAUAACACUUUUCAUCUCCUGAUGAGAAGUUGAAAGGCGGCUUUUGCUGUCACUUACAGAUGGGCCUGCGGCGCAUUAGCUAGUUGGUAAGGUAACGGCUUACCAAGGCGACGAUGCGUAGCCGACCUGAGAGGGUGAUCGGCCACACUGGGACUGAGACACGGCCCAGACUCCUACGGGAGGCAGCAGUAGGGAAUCUUCCGCAAUGGACGAAAGUCUGACGGAGCAACGCCGCGUGAGUGAUGAAGGUUUUCGGAUCGUAAAACUCUGUUGUUAGGGAAAAACAAGUGCCAUAGUAACUGAUGGCACCUUGACGGUACCUAACCAGGAGGCGGCGGGGUAACUACCUGCCCCCAGCCGCGGUAAUACAUAAGUGGCAAGCCUUGUCCGGAAUUAUUGGGCCUAAACCGCUCCCAGGCGGUUCUUUAAUGC